AUUGAACGCUGGCGGAAUGCUUUACACAUGCAAGUCGAACGGCAGCACGGACUUCGGUCUGGUGGCGAGUGGCGAACGGGUGAGUAAUGUAUCGGAACGUGCCCAGUCGUGGGGGAUAACGUAGUGAAAAUUACGCUAAUACUGCAUACGAUCUAUGGAUGAAAGCGGGGAUCGCAAGACCUCGCGCGAUUGGAGCGGCCGAUAUCAGAUUAGGUAGUUGGUGGGGGAAAGGCCCACCAAGCCAACGAUCUGUAGCUGGUCUGAGAGGACGACCAGCCACACUGGAACUGAGACACGGUCCAGACUCCUACGGGAGGCAGCAGUGGGGAAUUUUGGACAAUGGGCGAAAGCCUGAUCCAGCCAUUCCGCGUGCAGGAUGAAGGUCCUCGGGUUGUAAACUGCUUUUGUACAGAACGAAAAGGUUUCUACUAAUACUAGGAGCUCAUGACGGUACUGUAAGAAUAAGCACCGGCUAACUACGUGCCAGCCGCCGCUGUAA
RNAcentral lists this ribosomal RNA (499 nucleotides) under uncultured bacterium. RNAcentral's name for it is "partial 16S ribosomal RNA". It matches the Rfam family "Bacterial small subunit ribosomal RNA", at positions 30 to 523 of the family's 1533-position model. The record is from RNAcentral.